This 433-nucleotide ribosomal RNA is filed under the name uncultured bacterium. RNAcentral describes it as "partial 16S ribosomal RNA". It matches the Rfam family "Bacterial small subunit ribosomal RNA", at positions 29 to 507 of the family's 1533-position model. The record is from RNAcentral.
AACGAACGCUGGCGGCAUGCCUAACACAUGCAAGUCGAACGAGACCUUCGGGUCUAGUGGCGCACGGGUGCGUAACGCGUGGGAACCUGCCCUUAGGUUCGGAAUAACUCCCCGAAAGGGGUGCUAAUACCGGAUAAUGUCUUCGGACCAAAGAUUUAUCGCCUUUGGAUGGGCCCGCGUUGGAUUAGCUAGUUGGUAGGGUAAAAGCCUACCAAGGCGACGAUCCAUAGCUGGUCUGAGAGGAUGAUCAGCCACACUGGGACUGAGACGCGGCCCAGACUCCUACGGGAGGCAGCAGUGGGGAAUAUUGGACAAGGGGCGAAAGCCUGAUCCAGCAAUGCCGCGUGAGUGAUGAAGGCCUUAGGGUUGUAAAGCUCUUUUACCCGGGAUGAUAAUGACAGUACCGGGAGAAUAAGCUCCGGCUAACUCCGUG